RNAcentral lists this long non-coding RNA (793 nucleotides) under Brachypodium distachyon (stiff brome). RNAcentral describes it as "long non-coding RNA (BDIS_LNC005405)". The record is from RNAcentral. Lineage: Eukaryota; Viridiplantae; Streptophyta; Magnoliopsida; Poales; Poaceae.
UCCUGAAAUUCUUCACAAAAAAUAUUUGGUAAUCCACAAGGCUAAUGAUACAAGCCACAUUUCAUUUUUUAUUUGUUGACUUUUUCCUUCCAAUAAUUAAUGGUUAUUAGAAAAACCAUGAAACUGUUGAAAAUAUUACGGAAAAUGGAAAACUUAUGUUAAGUCAGACCAUUUGGACUUGACCGAUCACCGUAGAAAAUAUCAAACAAGUUAAGAAAGCCGUCUAUUUUUUUAUUUUUUUGACAGCACGAAAUCCGUCUAGUUAAUUUUCCCACGCAACAUUUAAUCAUUUGUAUUUUUAAAAAUAGCAACCAGCUAGAGGAAGAUUCAUAUACAUGUGCUUGAGAUCUCUAUAUGGGAUAUUAAAGUUGAACUCACCGUUCCAAAAUUUAACAUGACAGGGGGUAAUUAAUUCAUUGGACCUCAAAAGCAAAUUUAUUCUCCAAAACCGCGAGUGGCUAAUUCAUUCGACCUCCAAUGCAAUGUUAAAUAGGAGGCCACUAUUAGCUCUACAUCAGGUUUUUAAAUUACACCUUUUUAAAUUAAAGCUGGGGCAACAUAGGAGAUUUAAUUGUCAUCUCAAUAUUUUACACGCACAGAACCUUUUUGUUAUUUCUAGACCUAGUGAAGGUUGGCGAUACGCAUGGCCCACAUUUCAGAGAGUGUGUUCUUACAGUCCUCCUGCUAAUAUAGCUACCAUAACUCUAUAGUCAACUGUUAAGACCGUCAUUAUUUAAUUUCUAAUCCAUGAUGAGGUAUACACACAAGGGACGGAUCGGGUGACACAUAUAGC